RNAcentral lists this ribosomal RNA (847 nucleotides) under Proteus mirabilis. Its description in RNAcentral is "partial 23S ribosomal RNA". It matches the Rfam family "Bacterial large subunit ribosomal RNA", at positions 1920 to 2766 of the family's 2925-position model. Lineage: Bacteria; Pseudomonadati; Pseudomonadota; Gammaproteobacteria; Enterobacterales; Morganellaceae. The record is from RNAcentral.
CCAGUAAACGGCGGCCGUAACUAUAACGGUCCUAAGGUAGCGAAAUUCCUUGUCGGGUAAGUUCCGACCUGCACGAAUGGCGUAAUGAUGGCCAGGCUGUCUCCACCCGAGACUCAGUGAAAUUGAACUCGCUGUGAAGAUGCAGUGUACCCGCGGCAAGACGGAAAGACCCCGUGAACCUUUACUAUAGCUUGACACUGAACAUUGAGCCUUGAUGUGUAGGAUAGGUGGGAGGCUUUGAAGUGUGGACGCCAGUCUGCAUGGAGCCAACCUUGAAAUACCACCCUUUAACGUUUGAUGUUCUAACCUAGGCCCAUAAACUGGGUCGGGGACCGUGUCUGGUGGGUAGUUUGACUGGGGCGGUCUCCUCCUAAAGAGUAACGGAGGAGCACGAAGGUUGGCUAAGCAUGGUCGGACAUCAUGCGGUUAGUGCAAAGGCAUAAGCCAGCUUGACUGCGAGAGUGACGGCUCGAGCAGGUACGAAAGUAGGUCUUAGUGAUCCGGUGGUUCUGAAUGGAAGGGCCAUCGCUCAACGGAUAAAAGGUACUCCGGGGAUAACAGGCUGAUACCGCCCAAGAGUUCAUAUCGACGGCGGUGUUUGGCACCUCGAUGUCGGCUCAUCACAUCCUGGGGCUGAAGUAGGUCCCAAGGGUAUGGCUGUUCGCCAUUUAAAGUGGUACGCGAGCUGGGUUUAGAACGUCGUGAGACAGUUCGGUCCCUAUCUGCCGUGGGCGUUGGAAGAUUGAGAGGGGUUGCUCCUAGUACGAGAGGACCGGAGUGAACGCACCACUGGUGUUCGGGUUGUCAUGCCAAUGGCAUUGCCCGGUAGCUAAGUGCGGAAGAGAUA